GUGCCAGCAGCCGCGGUAAUACGUAGGCAGCAAGCGUUGUUCGGAGUUACUGGGCGUAAAGGGUGCGUAGGCGGCUCUAUAAGUAUGGUGUGAAAUCUCCCGGCUUAACUGGGAGGGUGCGCUAUAGACUGUGGGGCUAGAGUGUGGGAGAGGAAAGUGGAAUUCCUGGUGUAGCGGUGAAAUGCGUAGAUAUCAGGAGGAACACCGGUGGUGUAAACGGCUUUCUGGACCAUAACUGACGCUGAGGCACGAAAGCGUGGGUAGCAAACAGGAUUAGAUACCCUGGUAGUCCACGCCCUAAACGAUGCAUAUUUGGUGUGGGUCAUUCAGUUGAUCCGUGCCGGAGCUAACGCGUUAAAUAUGCCGCCUAGGGAGUACAGUCGCAAGGCUGAA
Molecule: ribosomal RNA, 393 nt
Filed under: uncultured bacterium
Lineage: Bacteria
Description: bacterial SSU rRNA
Rfam family: Bacterial small subunit ribosomal RNA
Source: RNAcentral